This 233-nucleotide ribosomal RNA is filed under the name uncultured bacterium. RNAcentral describes it as "partial 16S ribosomal RNA". It matches the Rfam family "Bacterial small subunit ribosomal RNA", at positions 100 to 334 of the family's 1533-position model. The record is from RNAcentral.
CGGGACGGGUGAGUAAUGUCUGGGAAACUGCCUGAUGGAGGGGGAUAACUACUGGAAACGGUAGCUAAUACCGCAUAACGUCGCAAGACCAAAGAGGGGGACCUUAGGGCCUCUUGCCAUCGGAUGUGCCCAGAUGGGAUUAGCUAGUAGGUGGGGUAACGGCUCACCUAGGCAACGAUCCCUAGCUGGUCUGAGAGGAUGACCAGCCACACUGGAACUGAGACACGGUCCAG